CUGAGCAGAGAGACAUGACUUUUACAAUGAAGUGUCCUGGCUUUAUGUUAGUUUUUUUUAUAGUGUCAGUUUACUGGGCUGGUACUGAGAGUCAAACACUGACUGAGUCUGAAUCAGUGAUUAAAAGGCCUGGAGACUCCCACAGACUGACCUGUACAUACUCAGGGUUCAGCAGUGAUAUUCAUGCUGCUUGGCUCAGACAGGCUGCUGGAAAA
Molecule: long non-coding RNA, 215 nt
Organism: Oreochromis niloticus (Nile tilapia)
Lineage: Eukaryota; Metazoa; Chordata; Actinopteri; Cichliformes; Cichlidae
Exons: 2
Source: RefSeq, a predicted model, not a curated record